RNAcentral lists this ribosomal RNA (443 nucleotides) under uncultured bacterium. Its description in RNAcentral is "partial 16S ribosomal RNA". It matches the Rfam family "Bacterial small subunit ribosomal RNA", at positions 338 to 795 of the family's 1533-position model. The record is from RNAcentral.
CCUACGGGAGGCAGCAGUGGGGAAUAUUGGGCAAUGGGCGCAAGCCUGACCCAGCAACGCCGCGUGAAGGAAGAAGGCUUUCGGGUUGUAAACUUCUUUUCUCAGGGACGAAGCAAGUGACGGUACCGGAGGAAUAAGCCACGGCUAACUACGUGACAGCAGCCGCGGUAAUACGUAGGGGGCAAGCGUUAGCCGGAUUUACUGGGUGUAAAGGGCGUGUAGGCGGGACUGCAAGUCAGAUGUGAAAACCACGGGCUCAACCUGUGGCCUGCAUUUGAAACUGUCGUUCUUGAGUACUGGAGAGGCAGUCGGAAUUCCUAGUGUAGCGGUGAACUGCGUAGAUAUUAGGAGGAACACCAGUGGCGAAGGCGGUCUGCUGGACAGCAACUGACGCUGAGGCGCGACAGCGUGGGGAGCAAACAGGAUUAGAUACCCUGGUAGUC